GUCCAGGGUAGCCUAGUGGACAUGGCAUCUGCCCGGUAAGCGGAACAUUGUGGGUUCGAUUCCCAUCCUUGUACA
RNAcentral lists this transfer RNA (75 nucleotides) under Cordylochernes scorpioides. Its description in RNAcentral is "tRNA-Thr". It matches the Rfam family "tRNA". Rfam says of the family: Transfer RNA (tRNA) molecules are approximately 80 nucleotides in length. The record is from RNAcentral. Lineage: Eukaryota; Metazoa; Arthropoda; Arachnida; Pseudoscorpiones; Chernetidae.